AACGCACAUUGCGCCCCGUGGUAUUCCGCGGGGCAUGCCUGUUCGAGCGUCAUUAUGACCAAUCCCGUUCUGCGGGGUCUUGGGCACCGCCUCCGGGCGGGCCUCAAAACCAGUGGCGGUCCGGCCGGGCUCUGAGCGUAGUAAAUCUUCUCGCUAUAGGGUCCCGGGCGGCACUGGCCAGCAACCCCCAAUCUUUCACAGGUUGACCUCGGAUCAGGUAGGGAUACCCGCUGAACUUAA
RNAcentral lists this unclassified non-coding RNA (240 nucleotides) under Cudoniella sp. Its description in RNAcentral is "partial contains 5.8S ribosomal RNA, internal transcribed spacer 2, and large subunit ribosomal RNA". The stretch from base 1 to 52 matches the Rfam family "5.8S ribosomal RNA", at positions 103 to 154 of the family's 154-position model. Lineage: Eukaryota; Fungi; Ascomycota; Leotiomycetes; Helotiales; Helotiaceae. The record is from RNAcentral. RNAcentral also lists the same sequence under 1 other name.